RNAcentral lists this ribosomal RNA (433 nucleotides) under uncultured bacterium. Its description in RNAcentral is "partial 16S ribosomal RNA". It matches the Rfam family "Bacterial small subunit ribosomal RNA", at positions 29 to 507 of the family's 1533-position model. The record is from RNAcentral.
AACGAACGCUGGCGGCAUGCCUAACACAUGCAAGUCGAACGAGACCUUCGGGUCUAGUGGCGCACGGGUGCGUAACGCGUGGGAACCUGCCCUUAGGUUCGGAAUAACUCCCCGAAAGGGGUGCUAAUACCGGAUAAUGUCUUCGGACCAAAGAUUUAUCGCCUUUGGAUGGGCCCGCGUUGGAUUAGCUAGUUGGUAGGGUAAAAGCCUACCAAGGCGACGAUCCAUAGCUGGUCUGAGAGGAUGAUCAGCCACACUGGGACUGAGACACGGCCCAGACUCCUACGGGAGGCAGCAGUGGAGAAUAUAGGACGAGGGGCGAAAGCCUGAUCCAGCAAUGCCGCGGGAGUGAUGAAGGCCUUAGGGUUGUAAAGCUCUUUUACCCGGGAUGAUAAUGACAGUACCGGGAGAAUAAGCUCCGGCUAACUCCGUG